UACGUAGGGGGCAAGCGUUGUCCGGAUUCAUUGGGCGUAAAGAGCGUGUAGGCGGCCAGGUAGGUCGGUUGUGAAAACUGGAGGCUCAACCUUCAGAGGUCGACCGAAACCAUCUGGCUAGAGUCCGGGAGAGGAGAGUGGAAUUCCUGGUGUAGCGGUGAAAUGCGCAGAUAUCAGGAAGAACACCGGUGGCGAAGGCGGGUCUCUGGGCCGUUACUGACGCUGAGGAGCGAAAAGCGUGGGGGAGCGAACAGGG
This 256-nucleotide ribosomal RNA is filed under the name uncultured bacterium. RNAcentral describes it as "partial 16S ribosomal RNA". It matches the Rfam family "Bacterial small subunit ribosomal RNA", at positions 524 to 777 of the family's 1533-position model. The record is from RNAcentral.